CAAGUCGCGUGCGCAGUUGCCGUAGCAAUACGGUGAUGGGCGCACGGCGCACGGGUGCGUAACACGUGGGCAAUCUGCCCUCCGAUGGGGAAUAACCCCGCGAAAGCGGGGCUAAUACCGCAUAACAUUCCUUGAGCGAUGGUUCGAGGAUUCAAAGCAGUAUGCGUCGGAGGAGGAGCCCGCGCCCGAUUAGCUAGUUGGUGAGGUAACGGCUCACCAAGGCAAUGAUCGGUAGCUGGUCUGAGAGGAUGAUCAGCCACACUGGAACUGAGACACGGUCCAGACUCCUACGGGAGGCAGCAGUGGGGAAUCUUGCACAAUGGGCGAAAGCCUGAUGCAGCGACGCCGCGUGGGGGAUGAAGCUUUUCGGAGUGUAAACCCCUUUCGCCUGGGACGAAUGCCCGCAAGGGAGUGACGGUACCAGGAUAAGAAGCCCCGGCUAACUACGUGCCAGCAGCCGCGGUAAGACGUAGGGGGCCAGCGUUGUUCGGAAUUACUGGGUGUAAAGGGUUCGUAGGCGGUGUGGCAAGUCGGGAGUGAAAUCUCUGGGCUCAACCCAGAGGCUGCUUCCGAAACUGCUGUGCUUGAGUGUGAGAGAGGCUCGUGGAAUUGCAGGUGUAGCGGUGAAAUGCGUAGAUAUCUGCAGGAACACCCGUGGCGAAAGCGGCGAGCUGGAUCACUACUGACGCUGAGGAACGAAAGCUAGGGGAGCAAACAGGAUUAGAUACCCUGGUAGUCCUAGCCCUAAACGAUCAGGACUUGGGGUGCCGCCCGUUCGGGCGUCGUCCCGGAGCUAACGCGUUAAGUCCUGCACCUGGGGAGUACGGUCGCAAGACUGAAACUCAAAGGAAUUGACGGGGGCCC
RNAcentral lists this ribosomal RNA (864 nucleotides) under uncultured Bacteroidota bacterium. RNAcentral's name for it is "bacterial SSU rRNA". It matches the Rfam family "Bacterial small subunit ribosomal RNA", at positions 58 to 922 of the family's 1533-position model. Lineage: Bacteria; Pseudomonadati; Bacteroidota. The record is from RNAcentral.